This 83-nucleotide transfer RNA is filed under the name Halioglobus sp. HI00S01. It matches the Rfam family "tRNA". From Rfam's summary of the family: Transfer RNA (tRNA) molecules are approximately 80 nucleotides in length. Their secondary structure includes four short double-helical elements and three loops (D, anti-codon, and T loops). Lineage: Bacteria; Pseudomonadati; Pseudomonadota; Gammaproteobacteria; Cellvibrionales; Halieaceae. The record is from Rfam by way of RNAcentral.
CGCGGGGUAUGCAAGUGGUCAAAGCGACUGGGCUCAUAACCCAGUGCCAUUCGGCUUCGCGGGUUCGAGCCCCGCCCCCGCAA